Molecule: ribosomal RNA, 304 nt
Filed under: uncultured bacterium
Lineage: Bacteria
Description: partial 16S ribosomal RNA
Rfam family: Bacterial small subunit ribosomal RNA
Source: RNAcentral
CAGCAGUAGCCGCGGGAAUACGUAGGGAGCAAGCGUUGUUCGGAUUUACUGGGCGUAAAGGGCGCGUAGGCGGCGCGGUAAGUCACUUGUGAAAUCUCUGAGCUUAACUCAGAACGGCCAAGUGAUACUGCUGUGCUAGAGUGCGGAAGAGGCAACCGGAAUUCUUGGUGUAGCGGUGAAAUGCGUAGAUAUCAAGAGGAACACCUGAGGCGAAGGCGGGUUGCUGGGCCGACACUGACGCUGAUGCGCGAAAGCCAGGGGAGCAAACGGGAUUAGAUACCCCCGUAGUCCCUGUCUCUUAUAC